Molecule: long non-coding RNA, 914 nt
Filed under: Fragaria vesca (wild strawberry)
Lineage: Eukaryota; Viridiplantae; Streptophyta; Magnoliopsida; Rosales; Rosaceae
Description: long non-coding RNA (FVES_LNC002505)
Source: RNAcentral
AUUUUCGAGGCAAUGGGGAAGAGGCUUGUUGGGGUCGGGCUUGGGACUGGAGGAGAGCUUCUGCUGCUUAAGAGGCAAUGGGGAAAUGGUGAGGGGGAGGCUGGUAAUGUUGGACACGACGGCGGUUGCGACGGCGAGGGGAGGCGGAGCAGGAGGAGGAAGAGCAACUUACGAAUGUGAGGAAGAGCAGCUUCUUCUCGAAGCAGCUGCUGACGAACUUUGCGAGUGGGGGUGCUGCUCCGCUGGGGGACGGAGGAGGAGGGAAGGUGGGGGGAGAGGAGGAGGUGGUGAGUCGGGGAGUGGAGGAACCAGAUCGAUCUAAGGAGUUGGAAGAGGGAGGAGAGGGAGAGGAGGAGGAGAAGAGGGAGAGGAAAGAGAGAGGGAGUGGGUUUGUAUCGGUGGGGAAGAGAAAGAAAAAGUUAUUGGAUGAAGUUCUUGGUGAGAGAAAUAAGAAGAUAAGAUGUUUGAGGGGAGUAGGUUAAAGAGAGAGCUAAAAAUUUAAAAGGAAGUUUGAAAUUUUCCGAAAUUUUUGGCGGAAACAGACUUUAGUCGACGAAACCUGUGAAAUUCGUCGGCUAAAGUAAUGAAACUCGUCGGCUAAAGUAAUGAAGCUCGUCGGCUGAAGUCCUUUGAAAAUUUUGAAAAUUUUCUCCCAAAUUUGGUUUGCCGCCAAAUUUUUUUUCGACUUUAGCCGAUGACUUUUCAUAUAUUUCCGUCGGCUAAAGUCAUUUGAAAAUUUUCCUCCAAAUUUAGUUUACCGCCAAACAAUUUUUGACCUUAGCCGACGACUUUUUUAAUAUCUCGUCGGCUAAAGUCUAUAAAUUCACGAAAACGCUCGUAUCUCCCUCUAUAUUACAUAGUUUGGUCAAACCUUUCACACGAAAAACUCUCAUGUAGAUGAGACGCAACCGCCU